RNAcentral lists this ribosomal RNA (201 nucleotides) under uncultured bacterium. RNAcentral describes it as "partial 16S ribosomal RNA". It matches the Rfam family "Bacterial small subunit ribosomal RNA", at positions 328 to 538 of the family's 1533-position model. The record is from RNAcentral.
ACGCUCGACACCUACGGGAGGUAGCAGUGGGGGAUAUUGCACAAUGGGGGAAACCCUGAUGCAGCAACGCCGCGUGAAGGAAGACGGUUUUCGGAUUGUAAACUUCUGUUCUUAGUGACGAUAAUGACGGUAGCUAAGGAGAAAGCUCCGGCUAACUACGUGCCAGCAGCCGACGGUAAUCUGAGGCGGGCUGGACAAGGC